UUUGGCCUGGUUAGUGACCUGGCACAAGCCCGAUCCAGGCACAUAUGGACUAGGCCUGUGGAUUUUGGCUGGACUUAAUGAUUUUCAUAAAUAGACGGGCUCUGCCCUUGCCCGUUUAUUAAAUUGGCUAAAUGAGCCGUGUUUGACACCUGUUAACUAUAUGGGAAAAAAUGUAUUGAUUUGUAAAUCAGUGGUGUCAAGUUUGAACACAAUAACACCUUAAUAAUUUCGACUAUCGCUUGUAUUAAAAAAAAAAAAAAAACCCCAAAUUCAAAUGUCCUCUACUCAAUAAAUUGAGAGCCGCAUGAUGAAUUUGAACGGACAAGAUUUUUGCGUUCACGCGAGGAGAGUGUCCGAGGCCUAUAAUCUUGAAAUUU
This 377-nucleotide long non-coding RNA is filed under the name Prunus persica (peach). RNAcentral describes it as "long non-coding RNA (PPER_LNC000238)". The record is from RNAcentral. Lineage: Eukaryota; Viridiplantae; Streptophyta; Magnoliopsida; Rosales; Rosaceae.